This 373-nucleotide ribosomal RNA is filed under the name uncultured bacterium. Its description in RNAcentral is "bacterial SSU rRNA". It matches the Rfam family "Bacterial small subunit ribosomal RNA", at positions 527 to 898 of the family's 1533-position model. The record is from RNAcentral.
GGGGGGGGCAAGCGUUGUUCGGAAUUACUGGGCGUAAAGGGCCCGUAGGCGGCCAACUAAGUCCGACGUGAAAUCCCCAGGCUUAACCUGGGAACUGCGUCGGAUACUGGAUGGCUUGAAUCCGGGAGAGGGAUGCGGAAUUCCAGGUGUAGCGGUGAAAUGCGUAGAUAUCUGGAGGAACACCGGUGGCGAAGGCGGCAUCCUGGACCGGCAUUGACGCUGAACGGCGAAAGCCAGGGGAGCAAACGGGAUUAGAUACCCCGGUAGUCCUGGCCCUAAACGAUGAAUGUUUGGUGUGGCGGGUAUCGAUCCCUGCCGUGCCGAAGCUAACGCAUUAAACAUUCCGCCUGGGGAGUACGGUCGCAAGGCUGAA